UGGGGUUCAGGGUGUUCGGGGCCUCCAGGCUGCAGUCCCACCUGAAACAGAGGCGGGUCGAAGCGAGGAACAGAGCCGGGUGCGAGAGGCGGCGGCGGCGCCUCUUCCUUGCAGAGGAUGGCGUGAGAGCAACAGCUAUGGAGGAGCAGCGGCUUGUGGUACCCAAGAAAGAAGAGGGCACUGAGAGUGGGAGAAGAGACCCUCUCAUUGUCCAAGUGAGGACCCUUGGGGACGUUUUGACCCAGGACAGAACAUCCCAGCCUAAUUCUGACUCAAAGAUGUCUUCAAAGAGAAAGAACCCCAGUCCAACUGAGACAAGGAGAAAGAGGCAUAGGAAAGCCACUGAUCUCAAUUUGAAGAUGAAGAUCAUCAAAGCAUAUGAAGCCGGGAAGAAGAUGCAUAGAAUAGCGAAAGAAGAAGGUCUGGCUUGUUCCACCAUUUGCGCUACUGUGAAGGACAAGGAAAGGAUCAGAGAGGCAUUGAAAGGAGCAAUAGGAAUGAACACAAAUAUAACAAUAAUACAGAAAUGCCAAAUCCCUAAAAUGGAACCCACUCCUGAUACUUUGGAUCAAAGAUCGGGUACAAAAGAGGCUGCCGCUUAGCUUUCUCCUCAUUCAGCCUAAGGCACGCAGCAUUUUCACAACGCUGAAGGAACAAGCAAGGAAAGAAUGCACUGAAACAUUCAUUGCUAGCCAUAGCUGGUUUGUGCGAUUUCAGCAAAGAUUUCAUUAUCAGAUAUUACCGUCACGUGAAGCUUUAGGGGCUGAAAAACGAACAGCCAGACAUUUUCUGGAUGAACUUGAUGAUGUUGUAGCAGAAGGAAAUUAUUCUGCUGAUCAGAUAUUCAGAGUGGAUGAAACUGGGUUAUAUUGGAAAAGAAUGCUAGAGCAGAGAUAUAUACACAAAGAGGCUCAAGCAAUGCCUGGUUGUAAAGCAUUUAAGGAUAGAGUAACCUUGCCCUUGUGGGGAAAUGUUGCCGGAUUCAAGCUGAAGCCAUUUGUGAUCCUCAAAUCAGAUCAUGCCAGUAUGAUUCAAAAAAUAAACAAGCACACACUCCCUGUUUAUUACCGAUUUGAUUGCGAGACCUGGAUAACACACGUCCUCUUUGAGGAUUGGUUUACGAAUUGUUUCAUACCUCAGGCAUCCCAAAUUCUGGAGGAUACGAUGCUAACAUCUCCCAAAUUAGAGAAAGAAGCCUGGGACGUUCCCUGGAGAUAAAGCAAGAGAAUGAUCGGGAGGCCAUCUCACUAGAAUAUGACAUAUGACAAAUACGUGAGGAGAAGACCUUCCAGGAUGGAAGCUCUGAAGUAAUAGACAUUUGCAAGAGUUUGGAAUGAGUCAGAAGACUCAUUUUCUGUGGUCUGGGAUUAAACCAGCAGGCGCAUAAAGGCACUCAGGAAAGAAAUCCAGUGAGGCUUUUCUGCUUGAAGAUGAUGAUCAAAACUUAAAUGGAACUAAUUCUACAUUUGGGAAAAAGGACGGCAUUAAGAGGAGCCUGAGAUGGUGUGCAAUCAUCAGUGUUCCAGAUACCCCCCCCCAACUCCCAUCCUGUUAUUCAAAGAGGAACACUCGCUCAGCAAAAGAAAUAUAUAUUUCUUCAGAGUAUAGAAAGUUUUGGUUAGAACACAAACCUCACAAAAAGGAUCGAGAGGAUCAAAAAGAACGAGAGGAUCCACACAACAAGGAAACCAUAUAAAUGUUCAGACUGCAGCAAAUAUUUCAAUGUAAAAUCCACUCUGAUUAAAUAUAAGAAGUCCCAUACAGGAGGAAAGCCAUGGGAAUGCACUGAAUAUAGAAAAGCUUUUUUGGGGGGGGGAGGUGGGGAUUCUAGUCAAAUAUCAGACAGGUGAAAAGCCACAUAAAUGCUGCCAAAUACUGCAUUGGCUGAGAUGCCCUUAUCAAACACAAGAAGACCAUACAGAAGAGAAGCAAUAUGAAUGCCGAAUCUAACUUGGUGACUCACAAGCAGAUUUAUACCAGAGAAAAACACAGCAGAUGCUCAGCAUAUUAAAAAGAACCCGUGGUUCUUUUCUGUGUCAUAACACAUAAAAAUCCAUCCAGGAGAGACAUACUCGAGGGCAGGGUUGGUGUUCAGAUCUAACCUGAGACUCUUAGAUUAUUGAAAUGAAGCUAGCACUGGAGUGAAACAGCAAAUGACCAAGAAUCAAGCACAAGGCAUUGGCUUUUAAAUACACUGAUAUAUUAAAAUGUUUUAAAGAAGUGCUUGUUUUGCAUUGAAGUUCUUUGUUCAAAUUUUGGAGACGACUUCCGGUAUCCGGCGGCAACGGACAUCUGGAGGUGCCUCUCCUGCCUCCAGUGUCCGAAUCCGGCCGCCUCCGAGGCCCUUAGGGGCCAGGUGUUCCGAAAAGGACACCUGCCGCACGGACGGCUCGCCAGGGGUCUCCCAGCCGACAUACAGGACUGGGGGGACCGAUGCUGGCGCGUCCUAGGCUCGGAGGGGUUCGGAGGCCUCAGGCCGCGGCCAUUAUUUUGGUCGUCGCCUGGGCCGCUGUGCCCGGUGACACCGGGGCUUUGGAUUUAUAAUUGCAGCAGCCUGGUG
Molecule: RNA transcript, 2560 nt
Organism: Ahaetulla prasina
Lineage: Eukaryota; Metazoa; Chordata; Lepidosauria; Squamata; Colubridae
Exons: 5
Source: RefSeq, a predicted model, not a curated record